This 254-nucleotide ribosomal RNA is filed under the name uncultured bacterium. Its description in RNAcentral is "partial 16S ribosomal RNA". It matches the Rfam family "Bacterial small subunit ribosomal RNA", at positions 524 to 776 of the family's 1533-position model. The record is from RNAcentral.
UACGGGGGGGGCAAGCGGUUGUUCGGAAUUAUUGGGCGUAAAGAGCGUGUAGGCGGCCAGGUAGGUCUGCUGUGAAAACUCGAGGCUUAACCUCGAGCUGUCGGCGGAAACCAUCUGGCUAGAGUCCGGAAGAGGAGAAUGGAAUUCCCGGUGUAGCGGUGAAAUGCGCAGAUAUCGGGAAGAACACCCGUGGCGAAGGCGGUUCUCUGGGACGGUACUGACGCUGAGACGCGAAAGCGUGGGGAGCGAACAGG